Molecule: non-coding RNA, 69 nt
Organism: Podarcis lilfordi (Lilford's wall lizard)
Lineage: Eukaryota; Metazoa; Chordata; Lepidosauria; Squamata; Lacertidae
Source: the annotation of a GenBank genome assembly
GCUGUAGCUCAAUGGCAGACCAUCUGCUUUGCAUGCAGAAGGUCCCAGGUCCAAGCCCUGGCAUCUCUA